UACGUAGGUGGCAAGCGUUAUCCGGAUUUAUUGGGCGUAAAGGGAACGCAGGCGGUCUUUUAAGUCUGAUGUGAAAGCCUUCGGCUUAACCGGAGUAGUGCAUUGGAAACUGGCAGUCUCGAGUUGGAGAGAAGUAUGCGGAAUGCGCGGUGUAGCGGUGAAAUGCAUAGAUAUCGCGCAGAACUCCGAUUGCGAAGGCAGCAUGCCGGCUCCACACUGACGCUGAGGCACGAAAGCGUGGGUAUCGAACAGG
RNAcentral lists this ribosomal RNA (253 nucleotides) under uncultured bacterium. RNAcentral's name for it is "partial 16S ribosomal RNA". It matches the Rfam family "Bacterial small subunit ribosomal RNA", at positions 524 to 776 of the family's 1533-position model. The record is from RNAcentral.